RNAcentral lists this non-coding RNA (45 nucleotides) under Schistosoma mansoni. Lineage: Eukaryota; Metazoa; Platyhelminthes; Trematoda; Strigeidida; Schistosomatidae. The record is from RNAcentral.
UUCCAACUGAAGAAUUCCAAAUAAGACGAAACGCGCGUCCUGUAU